Non-coding RNA from Phthorimaea operculella (potato tuberworm), 81 nucleotides. NCBI's taxonomy places the organism in Eukaryota, Metazoa, Arthropoda, Insecta, Lepidoptera, Gelechiidae. The record is from the annotation of a GenBank genome assembly.
ACCGUGGUAGCCCAGUUGGUAGUGGCGUCGGCAGUACAGAUGCCAAAGGUCGCAUCGCAGGUUGAAAUCCUGCCUGCGGUG